UGCUUAACACAUGCAAGUCGAACGAUGAAGCCCAGCUUGCUGGGUGGAAGAGUGGCGAACGGGUGAGUAACACGUGAGUAACCUGCCCUUGACUCUGGGAUAAGCGCUGGAAACGGCGUCUAAUACUGGAUACGACCUAUCACCGCAUGGUGUGUGGGUGGAAAGAUUUAUCGGUUUUGGAUGGACUCGCGGCCUAUCAGCUUGUUGGUGAGGUAAUGGCUCACCAAGGCGACGACGGGUAGCCGGCCUGAGAGGGUGACCGGCCACACUGGGACUGAGACACGGCCCAGACUCCUACGGGAGGCAGCAGUGGGGAAUAUUGCACAAUGGGCGCAAGCCUGAUGCAGCAACGCCGCGUGAGGGAUGACUGCCUUCGGGUUGUAAACCUCUUUUAGUAGGGAAGAAGCGAAAGUGACGGUACCUGCAGAAAAAGCACCGGCUAACUACGUGCCAGCAGCCGCGGUAAUACGUAGGGUGCAAGCGUUGUCCGGAAUUAUUGGGCGUAAAGAGCUCGUAGGCGGCUUGUCGCGUCUGCUGUGAAAUCCCGGGGCUCAACUCCGGGUCUGCAGUGGGUACGGGCAGGCUAGAGUGCGGUAGGGGAGAUUGGAACUCCUGGUGUAGCGGUGGAAUGCGCAGAUAUCAGGAAGAACACCGAUGGCGAAGGCAGAUCUCUGGGCCGCUACUGACGCUGAGGAGCG
RNAcentral lists this ribosomal RNA (698 nucleotides) under uncultured Leucobacter sp. RNAcentral describes it as "bacterial SSU rRNA". It matches the Rfam family "Bacterial small subunit ribosomal RNA", at positions 45 to 755 of the family's 1533-position model. Lineage: Bacteria; Bacillati; Actinomycetota; Actinomycetes; Micrococcales; Microbacteriaceae. The record is from RNAcentral.